GACGAACGCUGGCGGCGUGCCUAAUACAUGCAAGUCGAACGCACAGUUUAUACCGUAGCUUGCUACACCAUAAACUGUGAGUUGCGAACGGGUGAGUAACGCGUAGGUAACCUGCCUGGUAGCGGGGGAUAACUAUUGGAAACGAUAGCUAAUACCGCAUAAUAUUAAUUAUUGCAUGAUAAUUGAUUGAAAGAUGCAAUUGCAUCACUACCAGAUGGACCUGCGUUGUAUUAGCUAGUAGGUGAGGUAACGGCUCACCUAGGCGACGAUACAUAGCCGACCUGAGAGGGUGAUCGGCCACACUGGGACUGAGACACGGCCCAGACUCCUACGGGAGGCAGCAGUAGGGAAUCUUCGGCAAUGGACGAAAGUCUGACCGAGCAACGCCGCGUGAGUGAAGAAGGGUUUCGGAUCGUAAAGCUCGGUUGUAAGAGAAGAACGGGUGUGAGAGUGGAAAGUUCACACUGUGACGGUAUCUUACCAGAAAGGGACGGCUAACUACGUG
RNAcentral lists this ribosomal RNA (505 nucleotides) under uncultured bacterium. Its description in RNAcentral is "partial 16S ribosomal RNA". It matches the Rfam family "Bacterial small subunit ribosomal RNA", at positions 28 to 507 of the family's 1533-position model. The record is from RNAcentral.